Fopius arisanus is the source of this 256-nucleotide long non-coding RNA. RefSeq lists it as uncharacterized. The record is from RefSeq and is a predicted model, not a curated record. The transcript has 3 exons. NCBI's taxonomy places the organism in Eukaryota, Metazoa, Arthropoda, Insecta, Hymenoptera, Braconidae.
CAGAGACGAAGAUUUAAUUACCUCUUGGAGAGUAUUGCAUUAACAAGCUUCGGUGGCGCAGCCGGCAGCGCAAAAAAAAAUGAACUGAAUGAGCCCUGGACAAGCAGAACGCAAUCUUACUCGAAAGGUGACUUAUUCUCAGUAUAUGGAGUGUACAGUAUUAUCUCACGAAUUACUUGAAGUUAGAAUGUCCAGCUCGGAUGCCCAGCAUUGCAGAUUUGGAAUUGACAUCUCUCAUUAUAAAGGGAGAGAAGCC